UAACGACUCUCGGCAACGGAUAUCUCGGCUCUCGCAUCGAUGAAGAACGUAGCGAACUGCGAUACUUGGUGUGAAUUGCAGAAUCCCGUGAACCAUCGAGUCUUUGAACGCAAGUUGCGCCCGAAGCUUCGGCCGAGGGCACGUUUGCCUGGGUGUCA
RNAcentral lists this ribosomal RNA (158 nucleotides) under Gossia shepherdii. RNAcentral's name for it is "5.8S ribosomal RNA". It matches the Rfam family "5.8S ribosomal RNA". From Rfam's summary of the family: 5.8S ribosomal RNA (5.8S rRNA) is a component of the large subunit of the eukaryotic ribosome. It is transcribed by RNA polymerase I as part of the 45S precursor that also contains 18S and 28S rRNA. RNAcentral also lists the same sequence under 1 other name. The record is from RNAcentral. Lineage: Eukaryota; Viridiplantae; Streptophyta; Magnoliopsida; Myrtales; Myrtaceae.